Molecule: long non-coding RNA, 219 nt
Filed under: Trifolium pratense (red clover)
Lineage: Eukaryota; Viridiplantae; Streptophyta; Magnoliopsida; Fabales; Fabaceae
Description: long non-coding RNA (TPRA_LNC004311)
Source: RNAcentral
CCAUCGCGUGAACUAAACUUCUUCCAUCAAUCCCUUCCUCUUCUUCCAUCGUUCCCCUUCCAUUGUUCUCAUUCCAUCGAUUUCUUCCUCUUCCUCCAUCACGUGAACUAAUCUCACAAAAAAACCCUAAUCCCUUUCAUCGAUUUACUCGGGUUUGUAAUCAAAACAAAGAUUGAAGCUCUCAACUGGCUGUGAUUGAAGCUCUCAGUUGGACUGGCU